AUUGAACGCUGGCGACAUGCCUUACACAUGCAAGUCGAACGGCAGCACGGGUGCUUGCACCUGGUGGCGAGUGGCGAACGGGUGAGUAAUACAUCGGAACAUGUCCUGUAGUGGGGAUAGCCCGGCGAAAGCCGGAUUAAUACCGCAUACGAUCUACGGAUGAAAGCGGGGGACCUUCGGGCCUCGCGCCAUAGGGUUGGCCGAUGGCUGAUUAGCUAGUUGGUGGGGUAAAGGCCUACCAAGGCGACGAUCAGUAGCUGGUCUGAGAGGACGACCAGUCACACUGGGACUGAGACACGGCCCAGACUCCUACGGGAGGCAGCAGUGGGGAAUUUUGGACAAUGGGCGAAAGCCUGAUCCAGCAAUGCCGCGUGUGUGAAGAAGGCCUUCGGGUUGUAAAGCACUUUUGUCCGGAAAGAAAUCCUUGGCCCUAAUACGGUCGGGGGAUGACGGUACCGGAAGAAUAAGCACCGGCUAACUACGUG
RNAcentral lists this ribosomal RNA (485 nucleotides) under uncultured bacterium. RNAcentral's name for it is "partial 16S ribosomal RNA". It matches the Rfam family "Bacterial small subunit ribosomal RNA", at positions 30 to 507 of the family's 1533-position model. The record is from RNAcentral.